Peromyscus maniculatus bairdii (prairie deer mouse) is the source of this 1508-nucleotide non-coding RNA. The record is from RefSeq and is a predicted model, not a curated record. NCBI's taxonomy places the organism in Eukaryota, Metazoa, Chordata, Mammalia, Rodentia, Cricetidae.
CCUCUUCACCGAACCUGGGGCUCACAGAUUGGCUAGCCCAGCCGGCCAGCAGGUCCUGGGGAUCUUUCUGUCUUCGUAUACGCUGGCUGGGAUUGUAGGCGUCGGCCACCACGCCCGGCUGUUUCACCUGGGUGCUGGGAUCCAAACUCAGGUCCUCAUGUUUGUAUAACUCUUCACCAACCAAGCUGUCUCAGGCUCCGCGACAAACCGUUUCUAAGAUGGUUCAGUAAGAUGAUGCAUCUUUCUUCACGCUUUAGCUAAGUUCACAUGAGUUCCAUAAGAGAGAAAUAUGGAGAACAGGAGCAGCACCUAUGGAGGACAUGAGCAGCACCUAUGGAGGACAUGAGCGGCACCUAUGGAGGACAUGAGCAGUACCUAUGGAGGACAUGAGCGGCACCUAUGGAGGACAUGAGCAGCACCUAUGGAGGACAUGAGCGGCACCUAUGGAGGACAUGAGCAGUACCCGAGGGCUCCUAGCUUCACUCCAACCUCUCAGAACAUUUCAGAGACAAAUUAUUAGCUGAGGUUUGUGAUUCCUGCUAAUCCUGCUUCAAGGAUGGAACCUUAAGGCUUGGCCAUGUCCAACAAGCAAAAGGCCUCUUUUUGACCAGAGUUUACAUGUUUUUACGAAGCCCAAAUUUACAGAGUCAGGUGAUAAGAGAAUGACAUUAGUUGAGAGCCGAGUGUAGAAGCCACGGCACAGCAAGUGCUCGAUACACUUUAACUCUCGUUUCUUUAGACCUAACACAACCAAAUUCUUGAAAUUCUGGUGGCAAGUCCCUGGCCCACAUCUUUCGUUUUGUCUAAAGAGCACAGCAACUCUGUGCCACAGUUUGAUUUGUCUUAGAAUAAAAGCAAAAUGUUAGCUGAGGAUGACGCUCUGUGGUGGAGCACUUGCCUUAUCGGUGGGAAGCCCAGUGGUGUGCAGGUAUAGGAAAAGGCAUGUUCUCAUGUGCGUGAGCGCUCGUGUGUGGGGUGCACAUGUGUGCACAUCAUUGAGGAAACUCAAGGUUGACAUCAGGAAUCUUCAACUGCUCUUCCACCUUAAGUGAGACACAGUCUCUCAAUUGCAUUCAUAUGUCAAUCUGGCUUGCCCCCUUUCUCCACAAUUUCCUUUUUCUACUCUCUGUGUGUUGUGAUCAUACCCAGUCAGCCAUUACUACCUGGAAUGUUUGUGGGUUUUGGGGAUCUGAACUCUGGUCCUCAUAGUUAGAUGGCAAGUGAUCUGACCACUGAUCUACCUCUCCAGUCCUCACUUUCACAUACUUUUGCAAGUGUUUCAGUCUUUAUGAUUAAUAUCUGUGGCAUACCUUUUCAGUAGCCUGGUUGAUGAACAAACCAGCUUCCAGUUUCUGCUAAAUUCAAAAAGCUUCCAGGAAAUGUCUCAGGCUUUCUUCAUCUCUCUCUCUGGCCCUCAUUACUGUUCCUUGUGAGUCAUGGGUACUCAACAUGUGUGUAUUGAGCCAAACAGAACACGAUCCAUUUCCCUCAAUCUGUUAUUUCUAACU